RNAcentral lists this ribosomal RNA (760 nucleotides) under uncultured organism. RNAcentral describes it as "bacterial SSU rRNA". It matches the Rfam family "Bacterial small subunit ribosomal RNA", at positions 549 to 1324 of the family's 1533-position model. The record is from RNAcentral.
AAUUACUGGGCGUAAAGGGCCAGUAGGCGGUUUGGUAAGUUGUGCGUGAAAGCCUCGUGCUCAACGCGAGGAAGCCGGACAAUACUGUCAAGCUAGAGGGCAUCAGAGGGGAGUGGAAUUCCCGGAGUAGCGGUAAAAUGCGCAGAUAUCGGGAGGAACACCGAUGGCGAAGGCAGCUCCCUGGGGUGUACCUGACGCUGAGGGGCGAAAGCUAGGGGAGCGAACAGGAUUAGAGACCCUGGUAGUCCUAGCUGUAAACGCUGGGUGCUAGGUGUGGGGCGUAGAAGCUCUGUGCCGCAGCAAACGCGAUAAGCAUCCCGCCUGGGAAUUACGGUCGCAAGGCUAAAACUCAAACGAAUUGACGGGGCCCCGCACAAGCAGCGGAGCGUGUGGUUCAAUUCGAUGCUACACGAAGAACCUUACCUGGGUUUGACAUGUACGUGGUAGAGAAGCGAAAGCGGAUUGACCCUUCGGGGAGCGUACACAGGUGCUGCAUGGCUGUCGUCAGCUCGUGCCGUGAGGUGUCGGGUUAAGUCCCGUAACGAGCGCAACCCUUGCCCUUAGUUACAAGUGUCUAGGGGGACUGCCGGCGGGAAGCCGGAGGAAGGUGGGGAUGACGUCAAGUCAGCAUGGCCCAUAUGUCCAGGGCUACACACACGCUACAAUGGUCGGUACAAAGGGUAGCGAAGCCGCGAGGCGGAGCGAAUCUCAUCAAAGCCGGUCGUAGUUCGGAUUGCAGGCUGCAACCCGCCUGCAUGAA